Molecule: ribosomal RNA, 481 nt
Filed under: uncultured bacterium
Lineage: Bacteria
Description: partial 16S ribosomal RNA
Rfam family: Bacterial small subunit ribosomal RNA
Source: RNAcentral
GAUGAACGCUAGCGGCAGGCCUAAUACAUGCAAGUCGGACGGGAUUCAGGAGCUUGCUUCUGAUGAGAGUGGCGCACGGGUGCGUAACACGUAUGUAACCUACCUUUAUCAGGGGGAUAGCCUCUCGAAAGAGAGAUUAAGCCCGCAUAAAAUCACAGCACAGCAUUGUGUAAUGAUCAAAUAUUUAUAGGAUAAAGAUGGGCAUGCGGAACAUUAGCUAGAUGGCGGGGUAACGGCCCACCAUGGCGACGAUGUUUAGGGGAUCUGAGAGGAUGGCCCCCCACAUUGGUACUGAAAAACGGACCAGACUCCUACGGGAGGCAGCAGUAAGGAAUAUUGGUCAAUGGGGGGAAGCCUGAACCAGCCAUGCCGCGUGAAGAAAGACGGCCCUAGGGGUUGAAAACUGCUUUUAUACGGGAAUAAACCCAGAAACGUGUAUCUGGCUGAAUGUACUUUAAGAAUAAGGAUCGGCUAACUCCGG